GGUAAAAUGGCUGAGUAAGUAUUAGGCUGUAAAUCUAAAGAUGGGGGUCUAGUCCCCCUUUUACCA
RNAcentral lists this transfer RNA (66 nucleotides) under Macaca nemestrina (pig-tailed macaque). It matches the Rfam family "tRNA". From Rfam's summary of the family: Transfer RNA (tRNA) molecules are approximately 80 nucleotides in length. Their secondary structure includes four short double-helical elements and three loops (D, anti-codon, and T loops). Lineage: Eukaryota; Metazoa; Chordata; Mammalia; Primates; Cercopithecidae. RNAcentral also lists the same sequence under 1 other name. The record is from Rfam by way of RNAcentral.